This 458-nucleotide ribosomal RNA is filed under the name uncultured bacterium. RNAcentral's name for it is "SSU rRNA". It matches the Rfam family "Bacterial small subunit ribosomal RNA", at positions 26 to 518 of the family's 1533-position model. The record is from RNAcentral.
AGAAUCAACGCUGGCGGCGUGCCUAACACAUGCAAGUCGAACGAGAAAGUGGAGCAAUCCACGAGUAAAGUGGCGCACGGGUGAGUAACACGUGACUACCUACCCUUGAGUGGGGGAUAACCUAGGGAAACCUGGGCUAAUACCGCAUAACACCUACGGGUCAAAGGAGCAAUUCGCUUAAGGAGGGGGUCGCGGCCGAUUAGUUAGUUGGCGGGGUAAUGGCCCACCAAGACGAUGAUCGGUAUCCGGCCUGAGAGGGCGCACGGACACACUGGAACUGAAACACGGUCCAGACUCCUACGGGAGGCAGCAGUGGGGAAUUUUGCGCAAUGGGGGAAACCCUGACGCAGCAACGCCGCGUGGAGGAUGAAGUCCCUUGGGACGUAAACUCCUUUCGAUCGGGACGAUUAUGACGGUACCGGAAGAAGAAGCCCGGCUAACUUCGCGCCAGCAGCCGC